Molecule: ribosomal RNA, 429 nt
Filed under: uncultured Cystobacter sp.
Lineage: Bacteria; Pseudomonadati; Myxococcota; Myxococcia; Myxococcales; Archangiaceae
Description: bacterial SSU rRNA
Rfam family: Bacterial small subunit ribosomal RNA
Source: RNAcentral
GUGGGGAAUUUUGCGCAAUGGGCGAAAGCCUGACGCAGCAACGCCGCGUGUGUGAUGAAGGUCUUUGGAUUGUAAAGCACUUUCGACCGGGACGAAAACCCCUGGGCUAAUACUCCAGGGCUUGACGGUACCGGGAGAAGAAGCACCGGCUAACUCUGUGCCAGCAGCCGCGGUAAUACAGAGGGUGCAAGCGUUGUUCGGAAUUAUUGGGCGUAAAGCGCGUGUAGGCGGCCUUGCAAGUCGGAUGUGAAAGCCCUCGGCUCAACCGAGGAAGUGCGUUCGAAACUGCAGGGCUUGAGUGCCGGAGAGGGUGGCGGAAUUCCCCAAGUAGAGGUGAAAUUCGUAGAUAUGGGGAGGAACACCGGUGGCGAAGGCGGCCACCUGGACGGUGACUGACGCUGAGACGCGAAAGCGUGGGUAGCAAACAGG